AAAACUUGGUUGGCCACGCGUAUUCUUGGGGAACUAGCACACAUGAUAAGUUGUUAUUGCUUGAGAAUACACGUAGCUGACAAGUGCC
This 88-nucleotide microRNA precursor is filed under the name Rhodnius prolixus. Its description in RNAcentral is "microRNA miR-137 precursor". The stretch from base 9 to 81 matches the Rfam family "mir-137 microRNA precursor family". Lineage: Eukaryota; Metazoa; Arthropoda; Insecta; Hemiptera; Reduviidae. The record is from RNAcentral.